This is a long non-coding RNA of Sycon ciliatum, 176 nucleotides long. RefSeq lists it as uncharacterized. The record is from RefSeq and is a predicted model, not a curated record. Lineage: Eukaryota; Metazoa; Porifera; Calcarea; Leucosolenida; Sycettidae. The transcript is spliced from 3 exons.
AGCUAACCAACGAGAUGAGGAUGGUCAUUGUCAUUUUCUGAGCUGCGAACGGGCAGAAAGCUAACCAACGAGAUGAGGAUGGUCAUUGUCAUGUUCUAAGCUGCGAACGGGCAGAAAGCUACAUAACGAGAUGAGGAUGGUCAUUGUCAUUUUCUGAGCUGCGAACGGGCAGAAAG